Prunus avium (sweet cherry) is the source of this 1293-nucleotide long non-coding RNA. RefSeq lists it as uncharacterized. The record is from RefSeq and is a predicted model, not a curated record. NCBI's taxonomy places the organism in Eukaryota, Viridiplantae, Streptophyta, Magnoliopsida, Rosales, Rosaceae.
UUCUCUCUUGUCAUCUGGUGAUUUUUUUUCUUCUUCUCUCUUCUGGCUAGUUGGCCUUUUUUUGGUACUUCUCUGUUUUGGUAGAGAUGAAUAUUAUGCUCAGCUAACUUGAUAACUCUGAGACCACCUUUGCCAUUUGACUAGGUUAUUUUCAAAAGUUGAAUUUUUAAACCUGAAUUCACCCAAUUUUGAUAGAUCCCACUUCGCCAGUGACAGAAAUCGUAAUUUUGUUGCAGCGCCAUGGGUGAACGAGUAUGGGUUAAUCGUAAUUUUGUAGCGGCGACAUGGGUUAACAAGUACAGGGGUAGGGUGUUCAACAGCCAAAACAAAAUCAUGGUAAUCCAGUGGCAGAAAUCGUAAUUUUGUGUCGGCAACAUGGGUUAACAAGUAUAGGGGUGGGGUCAACAGCCAGGACGGUAAUGUAAUGUUAAAUAGCGCCCUCUGCGCUUUGAAUCUUGCCACACCCACCCAGAGAAAAAUUUCUCUGCCCGACUCCAACACAGUUGGGAGGAGCCAAACAUGGCAAUGAAUCAUUUUUCUUAUGCGAGGAUGAUUACUUUUCAGUUCGUGAAUCAUCAGCAGUUGUUGAUCAACUACUUUCCAGCACAACAAAUCAACCUUAUGAUCCACCAUUGCGUUUUCGGCUUCACCAUUCCCACAACCAUGACGCUGGUCCAGGGAAAGAACUAAAUGAUGCUCCGUGGGUGCUAACUGAUAUUGGUGAUGUUUCUGUUCAAAUGGAGUCGAAGAUGACAGACUGAUGAAUGUCAUAACUGAGUCCGUCAAGCUUGUUAUGGAACAUGUACGUUAUAAUUUCUAGAAGCUUCCAAUUGAAAAAAACUACUGCAAGUAUUGAUCUUAGGGAAAAAGAAAAAAGCGAUUUUAGAAGAUUUCAGUGGAAAAAUUAUUACAAUUCUGCUGUUCUGUUUCCAAAACUCUCCUUGUUCUGUUGGUAGAAUAAGUUGCAUAUAUAGUCAUGUCCAGUUGACUGAAAACUGGAGGAAUCUCUCCUUUUUAAUAACUUAUUUGCUGCAGGCUUAUGAUUAUAUAUCACCACUUUUGUACUUCUCUGUUUGGUAGAGAUGAAUAUUAUGCUCAUCGAGCUUGAUAACUCUGAGACCACCUUUUGCCAUUUGCCUAGGUUAUUUUCUAAAGUUGAAGUUUUUAACCUGAAUUCACCAAAUCUUGAUACAUCCCCUUUAUAACCUUGAAAACUUUACCAGUGUGACACAAUUGCUUGCAAUUUUUAAAUACUUUGAAACUCAUUGUUUUUUAGAAGUGUAGUUUGAAGCU